GUGACUUUGUUUCAUGAUAUGAUUCAUCAUGAAGUUGAAUGCUAUGCUAUGACGUGAUAGCAAAGUCCCAAACAGGAGAGGGGCAUCUGGCAGACAAGGGGCAAGUCGGUUGACCAGUUGAGACAAUUCAAACUGAGGUUGAAUUCAAGUAAGUGCACUAUCAGAGUGCGGUCCGGUAAGAUGUUGGGGUUUAUUGUCAGAGAGGAGUCCGAGGUUGAUCCUGCUUAAAAAAAAAG
This 236-nucleotide long non-coding RNA is filed under the name Lathyrus oleraceus (garden pea). RNAcentral describes it as "Pisum sativum (pea) long non-coding RNA (PSAT_LNC001618)". Lineage: Eukaryota; Viridiplantae; Streptophyta; Magnoliopsida; Fabales; Fabaceae. The record is from RNAcentral.